CAACAGACAAGAGACGAGGAAACGUCUGGGAUUUGUUUUCUUUUAUGUUUUCUUGUUUAGUGUUAGUUAAUGGUGUGAAGAUAUCUUUAAAUAAAGAUAGUUUCAAUUCAAAGUCAGGAUUUUAAAACCAGGAAAUAGGCUAGGCCUCUUCGUUUCCACAUAAGAAUGUGAGCGUGUAUCACUACAAGAGAUGGAGAGGCCUGUCCACAUCCUGAGGGACAGACCCAUCAGCAGAGACUUUGGGAAGUAAAACAGGGACAAGGAUGUCAAGAUUCACAGCUGUUAUAUGCAGAGAUAGUUUAUUCCCGGAAAACCAUCCAUCUACAUUUUCUAAUUCCUCACUUUUUCAACAGCUGUUUUAUAUUUAUGAGAUAUGAGGAAGAGUGGACCCAAGACACUUCCCUGCGGCACCCCGCACCCGAUAGGCCUUGGAGUAGACAGAGUCCGAAGAACAUCCACUACCUGUGUCUGAUCAGAAAAUACGAAUAAACCCACCCUAAACCUAAUCUACUAAAACUUUGAGACUUUUAGGCAAAACUCCACCCCGGUAUUUUGUUCCAAUCACCUUCUGCUAAUUAGCACAAUUGUUCAACCAGCAGGUAUAAUUAACAAAUGAAAUCGGCUGAUGUCAUGGAUGGAAGAACUUUUACUUUCCAACCCCUAGACUUUCCAACUCUGCAAGUUGGGAAUUUCGCCAGGACUAGAGAACCCCCAACUCUAGGACUAUGGGACCUGAUUCCUGGAGAGCAGGUUCAGGAUUUUAUGAGUUAAUUAUUCCAAUCAUUAUGUGAUCUGCCAUUUUAGAUGCAUUUAAUGAUGCAUUAAUGAACAACACCUAAAGUUUUUUGUGUCACAAUAUGACACCUUUCACUCCAGUUGGCUAAUUUAGCCAGGGUAACAGGUGUGAACAAAUCCUGCACAUACACCAUCCCCAGGAAUUACCCACCUCUUCCUUAUUCAUUGCAUCAAGCCUGCAGGGAUUUUUAAUGGCCAUAGUAAAUCAGGACCUCAGUUUAAACUUUGUGUUCAGUUUGGAUCAAACUGAUCUGUCUUAAACUUUUCAUAAAAGCGGAAUGACACUUGAAACAAUGAGAGAGGAGUUUUAUAACUGGUGACAAAAUCUGUGUACAUUUGGUUCUUGUUUAGUGUUUCUGUUUGUUGUUCAUAAUCUGUAUUGCUUUAUGUCUUUUCCUUUAUAUGGUUUAUUUGAAUAUAAUGAAAAAUAAGUGAGAUGUCAGUUCAAACAAUUACAUAUCAAGAAUAUACUGCAUGAAAACCUUGUUUCAUUUUUAUUUUUCACACAAAAAGAAAAACUUUGUACAUGUACAUGCCACUGGCUUGAACAGGCACAGAG
Anguilla anguilla (European eel) is the source of this 1354-nucleotide long non-coding RNA. RefSeq lists it as uncharacterized. The transcript has 3 exons. The record is from RefSeq and is a predicted model, not a curated record. Lineage: Eukaryota; Metazoa; Chordata; Actinopteri; Anguilliformes; Anguillidae.